AGAAGUUCGAGGAACCAAGAGAGAGAAAGGGAAAAUGUGAAGAGAGAAUGUGAUUUUUGAAGGAGAUAAAGGGGAAAGAAGAUGGAAUCAAGAGUUUGAGACUUUCAUAGGCUUGGAUUUUAAGAUUUCUUCAAGAUUGAGGUUUGAGCUUGGAUUGAAGUGUGGAGAUAGGAGGAGAGGUGGUUGAGCUAAGGAUUGAAGAUUUGGGGCAAAGUUGAUUGGGCUUGGAGGAGUUGUGGUAUUUGGCCUAAACGAGGUGAUAUAGGUACUAGCGCUAGUGCUCCGACUACGGAUCAGCAGGGAGAAGCGUGACGCGGAUGACCUGCACUUGGGGUGGUUUGUGGUUUUAUUUUAUGUGGUGUUUGAGUAGUCUUUGGCUUAAGUGUAUAUUGGGAUAUAUACGUAAUGUGUGGGAUGAAUGAUGAUUUUGGAUGGUUAAGCUUGAUGCCUUGAUAUGUAUGUGUGUAUGAUGAUUUAUGUUUGGGAUGAUAUGGCCGGAGGCCUUGGAUAUUUAGUUUGGUGGUAUGGAAAAUUGU
Tripterygium wilfordii is the source of this 536-nucleotide long non-coding RNA. RefSeq lists it as uncharacterized. The record is from RefSeq and is a predicted model, not a curated record. NCBI's taxonomy places the organism in Eukaryota, Viridiplantae, Streptophyta, Magnoliopsida, Celastrales, Celastraceae. The transcript is spliced from 4 exons.